GCCGCUGUGGCUUAGCUUGGUAAAGCGGCUGAUUCGUAAUCAGCAGAUCAUGGGUUCGAAUCCCAUCAGCGGCU
This 74-nucleotide transfer RNA is filed under the name Methanosarcinales archaeon. RNAcentral describes it as "tRNA-Thr". It matches the Rfam family "tRNA". Rfam says of the family: Transfer RNA (tRNA) molecules are approximately 80 nucleotides in length. The record is from RNAcentral. Lineage: Archaea; Methanobacteriati; Methanobacteriota; Methanomicrobia; Methanosarcinales.